This 370-nucleotide ribosomal RNA is filed under the name uncultured bacterium. Its description in RNAcentral is "bacterial SSU rRNA". It matches the Rfam family "Bacterial small subunit ribosomal RNA", at positions 527 to 896 of the family's 1533-position model. The record is from RNAcentral.
AGAGGGUGCGAGCGUUAAUCGGAAUUACUGGGCGUAAAGCGUGCGUAGACGGCUAUCUAAGUCGGGUGUGAAAGCCCCGGGCUCAACCUGGGAAUUGCAUUCGAGACUGAAUAGCUAGGGUGCGGUAGAGGGAAGCGGAAUUUCCGGUGUAGCGGUGAAAUGCGUAGAUAUCGGAAGGAACAUCAGUGGCGAAAGCGGCUUCCUGGACCAGCACCGACGUUCAGGCACGAAAGCGUGGGGAGCAAACAGGAUUAGAUACCCUGGUAGUCCACGCCAUAAACGAUGAGGACUAGACGUUGGAGGGGUAAGCCUUUCAGUGUCGUAGCUAACGCGCUAAGUCCUCCGCCUGGGGAGUACGGCCGCAAGGUUG